Molecule: ribosomal RNA, 607 nt
Filed under: Lyponia sp. UPOL A00571
Lineage: Eukaryota; Metazoa; Arthropoda; Insecta; Coleoptera; Lycidae
Description: partial 16S ribosomal RNA
Rfam family: Bacterial large subunit ribosomal RNA
Source: RNAcentral
CAUGUCCUUUUGAUUUUAAUUUAAGGUCUAAUCUGCUCAAUGAUUAUUUAAAUAGCCGCAGUAUUUUAACUGUGCAAAGGUAGCAUAAUAAUUAGCUUCUUAAUUAGGGGCUUGUAUGAAUGAUUGGACGAGAAAAUUUCUGUCUCCUUUUAAUUUUUUUUUGAAUUUUAUUUUUAAGUUAAAAAGCUUAAAUUUUUAUAAAAGACGAGAAGACCCUAUAGAGUUUUAUAUUUUUAAUUUAUUGAUGUUUAGAAAUUUCUUUAUUUUUUUAGGUAUUUAGUUGGGGUGACUUGGAGAUAAAAAUAAUUCUUCAAAUAUUUAAUUGAUGAUUUUUAAAUUGAAAAUCUAGUUUUUUAAAUUUAAAAUUAAUUACCUUAGGGAUAACAGCGUAAUUUUUCUUUAAAGCUCUUAUUGAAAGGAAAUUUUGCGACCUCGAUGUUGGAUUAAAAUUAAUUUUUGGUGCAGUAACUUAAAAAUUAGGUCUGUUCGACCUUUAAAAUUUUACAUGAUCUGAGUUUAAACCGGCGUAAGCCAGGUUGGAUUCUAUCUUUAGAAUUUAUUAUAUAUUUUAGUACGAAAGGACCAAAUAUACAUUAUAUAUUAAUUG